This 162-nucleotide ribosomal RNA is filed under the name Peperomia glabella. RNAcentral describes it as "5.8S ribosomal RNA". It matches the Rfam family "5.8S ribosomal RNA". From Rfam's summary of the family: 5.8S ribosomal RNA (5.8S rRNA) is a component of the large subunit of the eukaryotic ribosome. Lineage: Eukaryota; Viridiplantae; Streptophyta; Magnoliopsida; Piperales; Piperaceae. The record is from RNAcentral.
AUACGACUCUCGGCAACGGAUAUCUCGGCUCUCGCAUCGAUGAAGAACGCAGCGAAAUGCGAUACUUGGUGUGAAUUGCAUAAUCCCGUGAAUCAUCGAGUCUUUGAACGCAAGUUGCGCCCGAGGCCCUUCGGCCGAGGGCACAUCUGCUUGGGCGUCGAC